Molecule: non-coding RNA, 503 nt
Organism: Schizosaccharomyces pombe (fission yeast)
Lineage: Eukaryota; Fungi; Ascomycota; Schizosaccharomycetes; Schizosaccharomycetales; Schizosaccharomycetaceae
Source: the annotation of a GenBank genome assembly
GAAGAAGAGGAAAGAUAGUAAGAAAACAAAAACAAAUUCCAGUAAACACUCAAUCUCUAGAAAGCCAACACCUGUACAAGAAACAGGUUUCAAAAAGAGAUUGGCGGAAUACUUCGGCAACGAAAUAACCUAGUAGAGGGAAGAAAAGUCGGCCUGGCUGUUCGAAGAGGAUGGCGGGUAUGAAAACAGUGGUUUCGCGUUGAAUACUUUGGGAGAAUUAGAAUUUCGUAGCAAUUCACUUAGAUCGUGUGUGUAUUAAUAUUUUGUUAAGCAAAUUUUCUCAUGUUGAACCCAGAAAUGUAGCAGAAAACAGAACCUUGGUUGGUUGUUGUUGGUAGAGGGUAAAGUUAUCCGCCCCCCCUGAGGAGUUCUUUUUAGUGCUGAUGUUCCUUUGAUUGCGAUAGAGAAUUUAACGAAAUUUAGUGGAAUAUAGCACAAUUAUGUCGAGAUAGUAGAUGAGUUGGUAAGGAAGAUUCGUGAUCAAUUUAUCCCGUUCUGACUUC